AGUGAACGCUGGCGGCAGGCCUAACACAUGCAAGUCGAGCGGCAGCGGGUCCUUCGGGCUGCCGGCGAGCGGCGGACGGGUGAGGAAUGCAUUGGAAUCUGCCCUGUCGUGGGGGAUAACCUAGGGAAACUUAGGCUAAUACCGCAUACGACCCACGGGUGAAAGCGGGGGAUCGCAAGACCUCGCGCGAUAGGAUGAGCCGAUGUCGGAUUAGCUAGUUGGCGGGGUAAAGGCCCACCAAGGCGACGAUCGGUAGCUGGUCUGAGAGGAUGAUCGGCCACACUGGAACUGAGACACGGCCCAGACUCCUACGGGAGGCAGCAGUGGGGAAUAUUGGACAAUGGGCGCAAGCCUGAUCCAGCCAUGCCGCGUGGGUGAAGAAGGCCUUCGGGUUGUAAAGCCCUUUUAUCCGGGAAGAAAUCGUCUGGGCUAAUACCCCGGGCGGAUGACGGUACCGGAAGAAUAAGCACCGGCUAACUUCGUG
This 484-nucleotide ribosomal RNA is filed under the name uncultured bacterium. Its description in RNAcentral is "partial 16S ribosomal RNA". It matches the Rfam family "Bacterial small subunit ribosomal RNA", at positions 30 to 507 of the family's 1533-position model. The record is from RNAcentral.